UUUGAUUAUGGCUCAGGACGAACGCUGGCGGCGUGCCUAAUACAUGCAAGUCGAGCGGACAGAUGGGAGCUUGCUCCCUGAUGUUAGCGGCGGACGGGUGAGUAACACGUGGGUAACCUGCCUGUAAGACUGGGAUAACUCCGGGAAACCGGGGCUAAUACCGGAUGGUUGUUUGAACCGCAUGGUUCAAACAUAAAAGGUGGCUUCGGCUACCACUUACAGAUGGACCCGCGGCGCAUUAGCUAGUUGGUGAGGUAACGGCUCACCAAGGCGACGAUGCGUAGCCGACCUGAGAGGGUGAUCGGCCACACUGGGACUGAGACACGGCCCAGACUCCUACGGGAGGCAGCAGUAGGGAAUCUUCCGCAAUGGACGAAAGUCUGACGGAGCAACGCCGCGUGAGUGAUGAAGGUUUUCGGAUCGUAAAGCUCUGUUGUUAGGGAAGAACAAGUACCGUUCGAAUAGGGCGGUACCUUGACGGUACCUAACCAGAAAGCCACGGCUAACUACGUGCCAGCAGCCGCGGUAAUACGUAGGUGGCAAGCGUUGUCCGGAAUUAUUGGGCGUAAAGGGCUCGCAGGCGGUUUCUUAAGUCUGAUGUGAAAGCCCCCGGCUCAACCGGGGAGGGUCAUUGGAAACUGGGGAACUUGAGUGCAGAAGAGGAGAGUGGAAUUCCACGUGUAGCGGUGAAAUGCGUAGAGAUGUGGAGGAACACCAGUGGCGAAGGCGACUCUCUGGUCUGUAACUGACGCUGAGGAGCGAAAGCGUGGGGAGCGAACAGGAUUCGAUACCCUGGUAGUCCACGCCGUAAACGAUGAGU
RNAcentral lists this ribosomal RNA (820 nucleotides) under Bacillus subtilis. Its description in RNAcentral is "bacterial SSU rRNA". It matches the Rfam family "Bacterial small subunit ribosomal RNA", at positions 12 to 814 of the family's 1533-position model. Lineage: Bacteria; Bacillati; Bacillota; Bacilli; Caryophanales; Bacillaceae. The record is from RNAcentral.